AUUAAUAACUGAGGUCGAGAACCUUAAAAUUUAAU
This is a regulatory RNA element of Psychroflexus salarius, 35 nucleotides long. It matches the Rfam family "S16-Flavobacteria ribosomal protein leader". NCBI's taxonomy places the organism in Bacteria, Pseudomonadati, Bacteroidota, Flavobacteriia, Flavobacteriales, Flavobacteriaceae. The record is from Rfam.